AAGGCGUUUUGUUUUCAUUGUGGCUGUUCUUGUCUGAAUGAAGCUCCAGCUGCAGGUUCAGAGGUUCCUGCCUCAGUGACAGUCAUCUUCUGUCCCCCAGGAACCUUGAAUGAUCUGACUGUUGACUGCAUCAAACUCUGAUGUUUACAAGACCCAACGAUCGUGGUCUGUGGACUGGGAAUGGGACCCCAAUCAUCGGUCAAUGAUGAUCUACCACUGUGCUAUAAAGAUGGGCGUUUCAGUUUUAGACUCUUAUGGGGAAUAUGCAGCCACCCUCAAGUGGACACUCUGGGUACUGCAUUCUCAGCACUUUUGCCUUUGCUUCACUGUUCCACACCGGAGGUUACUGCUCAGUAGUUUCACCUUGAAGCCAAUUUCCAUUUUAAUAUCUGCUGACAGUUAAACUGAAAGGACGUGUCAGACACACACCUGAACUCCACAGGUGGACCGUUCUGACCGGACUGCUGUGUUAAAAAUGUGCUGUAUAUGACCGCAAGGAUUUAGCUAUAUGAUGACAGUAACAGACCUGCUCUGAUAUCUUUGUCUCCACAUUAAGUCAAGUGUCGCUUUCUGCUUGUGAUCAGCUGUUUCUGUAUUAUCUGCAAAACAACAAACGUUUUAAUAUCAAACUCCUGCUCAGCUCUGGACUCUGCUGUUUGUGUUGUGAUUAAAAUCGUCAUAGUAACGGGUCAAAGGGUGUUUAAUCAUGUUUAUAAGAUUAUGAUAUCAUAGCAGAAUCAGAUUAGAAUAUCUUUUCAUACAUUUAAAACACAUAAUCACAGCAGAGACACAGAAAACUUUCAUUAUGUGACGAACUAUCAAUAUAAAAUUUGUCAUUAAAUAUAUUUAAAACAAAAGUAUUGGGUAAAAACUGUUAUGUUGUGUUUAUGUAUAAAUAUUAAGUGAAGAAAACUCUUAUUUUAAUGAACUGUAUGUGUCAAAAGGCCUCUAAAUAUUAUGUUUAUGCAUGCUGGUGAGAAGCCUGAUAACUUUAUUACACUUAAAAAAAGUUCAAUUAACUGAAGAGAUCCAUAACGAGUCAAGAUAAAACUGAUUUCUUUGCUUUUUUUUGGUUUGUUUUUUACAAAAGAUGAAUUUUACUGUCAGUGUAAAGUGUCCUUGUUUCCACGUGAAUAAAUCUGUUAUUAAAUUGCUGUGGCAACAGUU
This is a non-coding RNA of Xyrichtys novacula (pearly razorfish), 1167 nucleotides long. The record is from the annotation of a GenBank genome assembly. Lineage: Eukaryota; Metazoa; Chordata; Actinopteri; Labriformes; Labridae.